This is a long non-coding RNA of Diorhabda sublineata, 529 nucleotides long. RefSeq lists it as uncharacterized. NCBI's taxonomy places the organism in Eukaryota, Metazoa, Arthropoda, Insecta, Coleoptera, Chrysomelidae. The record is from RefSeq and is a predicted model, not a curated record. The transcript has 2 exons.
UAAUAAUAGAAGAUGCUAUAAGAAGUUUAUUAUAUCAAGAUUUAUUAUUUAGUUUUUCAGUCUGAAGAUAUUUCAGUUUUUGAAAGUAUUUUUAAUACUGUGACAAACACACGGCGUGUGGGGUUAAGGCGAAUAAACGUACCUGUGUGAUGUAUUAUCAGGAUCACCUUUCCUCCUAUGUAACCCUAACUCUUGUCUGUUAUAACAACGUUUUUCAAAACUGAAUAUCUUGAGAUUUUCAGUACAUAUGUCACAGUAAAAUAAUUCGUGCUCCCUCCGCAUGUGGUCUUUGAGCUGUUGAAACGUUUUGAAAGGCCAUUUCCUUUCAUUGUCUUCACAUAUCGAACAACGGUGCUCUAGCAGUUUAUAAUAAGCCUUUUGAAUAUCCGAAGUACAAAAGAUGAUGCCAGCUCUACGAUCUUGUAGGUUCGAUCGCUCAAACUUUGGUAACAACACUGAGAAUGCUUCGAUUGUUUUUGUAAAUAAUACCUGCAAUAUUAAAAUAAAACUAUUCUAUAAUAGUAGAAAA